This 435-nucleotide ribosomal RNA is filed under the name uncultured marine eukaryote. Its description in RNAcentral is "partial 18S ribosomal RNA". It matches the Rfam family "Eukaryotic small subunit ribosomal RNA", at positions 1210 to 1456 of the family's 1831-position model. The record is from RNAcentral.
AAAUCUUACCGGGUCCGGACACACUGAGGAUUGACAGGAAUUAUCGUGUUUUAAAAAUUUUCUUCGGAAUUUUUUUUUUUCACGUGUUAAAUAUGCUAGUCCUUUCAUGAUUAUGUGAUAGGUGGUGCAUGGCCGUUCUUAGUUCGUGGAGUGAUCUGUCUGCUUAAUUGCGUUUCACAACGAGCUUACACUAUAACGCAUUGUUUGUGAGGUAGUCUGACCCCUUGGCUUCGGCCACAGCGCGUGUCUUUCUGCCAUCAUCACAUCAUGCUUCGUAAAGCUCUGAAAGCAACGAACGUGACCGCAACCUCUUGUUGCCUGUAUUACAAACUGACGUCUCAUUUUUUAAAUGUGCGUUAUAUAAACAGGCCUUAUAUUAAUAAACUAGAGGGACCGCUGCUUUUUCCUUAAACCAGAGGAAGGUUGCGGCAAUAA